GGCGCCGUCGCCAAGUGGUAAGGCUCCAGACUGCAAAUCUGGCAUCGUCAGUUCGAUUCUGACCGGCGCCU
This 71-nucleotide transfer RNA is filed under the name Gemmatimonadaceae bacterium. RNAcentral describes it as "tRNA-Cys". It matches the Rfam family "tRNA". Rfam says of the family: Transfer RNA (tRNA) molecules are approximately 80 nucleotides in length. Lineage: Bacteria; Pseudomonadati; Gemmatimonadota; Gemmatimonadia; Gemmatimonadales; Gemmatimonadaceae. The record is from RNAcentral.